AGUACGGCGGAACACGAGAAAUUCCGUCGGAAUCCGCGGGGACCAUCCCGCAAGGCUAAAUACUCCCUAGUGACCGAUAGUGAACCAGUACCGUGAGGGAAAGGUGAAAAGCACCCCGGAAGGGGAGUGAAAUAGAUCCUGAAACCGUGUGCCUACAACAAGUCAAAGCUCGUUAAUGAGUGAUGGCGUGCCUUUUGUAGAAUGAACCGGCGAGUUACGAUUGCAUGCGAGGUUAAGUCGAAGAGACGGAGCCGCAGCGAAAGCGAGUCUGAAUAGGGCGAAUGAGUAUGUAGUCGUAGACCCGAAACCAUGUGAUCUACCCAUGUCCAGGUUGAAGGUGCGGUAAAACGCACUGGAGGACCGAACCCACGUACGUUGAAAAGUGCGGGGAUGAGGUGUGGGUAGCGGAGAAAUUCCAAACGAACUUGGAGAUAGCUGGUUCUCUCCGAAAUAGCUUUAGGGCUAGCCUCGGAAUUGAGAAUGAUGGAGGUAGAGCACUGUUUGGACUAGGGGCCCAUCUCGGGUUACCGAAUUCAGAUAAACUCCGAAUGCCAUUCAUUUAUAUCCGGGAGUCAGACUGCGAGUGAUAAGAUCCGUAGUCGAAAGGGAAACAGCCCAGACCACCAGCUAAGGUCCCAAAAUAUAUGUUAAGUGGAAAAGGAUGUGGGGUUGCACAGACAACUAGGAUGUUGGCUUAGAAGCAGCCACCAUUUAAAGAGUGCGUAAUAGCUCACUAGUCGAGUGACCCUGCGCCGAAAAUGUACCGGGGCUAAACAUAUUACCGAAGCUGUGGACUACACCAUUAGGUGUAGUGGUAGGAGAGCGUUCUAAGGGCGUUGAAGGUCGAUCGUGAGGACGGCUGGAGCGCUUAGAAGUGAGAAUGCCGGUAUGAGUAGCGAAAGACAGGUGAGAAUCCUGUCCACCGUAUGACUAAGGUUUCCUGGGGAAGGCUCGUCCGCCCAGGGUUAGUCGGGACCUAAGCCGAGGCCGAUAGGCGUAGGCGAUGGACAACAGGUUGAUAUUCCUGUACCAGUUGUU
This 1038-nucleotide ribosomal RNA is filed under the name Enterococcus faecalis. RNAcentral describes it as "partial 23S ribosomal RNA". It matches the Rfam family "Bacterial large subunit ribosomal RNA", at positions 411 to 1452 of the family's 2925-position model. Lineage: Bacteria; Bacillati; Bacillota; Bacilli; Lactobacillales; Enterococcaceae. The record is from RNAcentral.